CGGCUACACCCGUCAACCCCGCUCUCCCUGCCUCGAAUGGCGUCCGAGAGUUGCGAAAUCAACGGGUUCCACAUCCCCAAGGGUGCCACUCUUCUGGUCAACGUAUGGGCCAUAUCUCGCGACCCGGCCCAAUGGUCCGAACCGCUUGAGUUUAGACCCGAGCGGUUCUUGCCGGGUGGAGAGAAGCCCAAUGUGGACGUCAAGGGUAAUGAUUUCGAGGUUAUACCGUUUGGGGCCGGGCGGAGAAUAUGCGCCGGGAUGACCCUUGGGCUGCGUAUGGUGUCUCUAAUGACCGCGACCCUGGUCCAUGGUUUUGAUUGGACCUUGGCUGAUGGGCUCACACCUGAGAAAUUGAACAUGGACGAGGCUUAUGGGCUCACACUACAAAGAGCCGCACCAUUAAUGGUGCACCCACGUAACAGGCUAGCCCCUCAUGCAUAUAAUGCGUCAUCACCUUGAAUUCUUGAGAGAGUUUUGAGUUGUAUGAUGUUUUAUGGAAAAUGUGUUGUCUUUGGUAAUUCCUGGUGUGUCGAU
This 534-nucleotide long non-coding RNA is filed under the name Malus domestica (apple). RNAcentral describes it as "long non-coding RNA (MDOM_LNC006333)". The record is from RNAcentral. Lineage: Eukaryota; Viridiplantae; Streptophyta; Magnoliopsida; Rosales; Rosaceae.